UACGUAGGGUGCGAGCGUUAUUCGGAAUUACUGGGCGUAAAGCGUGCGCAGGCGGUUUUGUAAGUCCGAUGUGAAAUCCCCGGGCUUAACCUGGGAAUUGCAUUUGGGACUGCAAGGCUUGAGUGCGGCAGAGGGGGAUGGAAUUCCGCGUGUAGCAGUGAAAUGCGUAGAUAUGCGGAGGAACACCGAUGGCGGAGGCAAUCCCCUGGGCCUGCACUGACGCUCAUGCACGAAAGCGUGGGGAGCAAACAGG
This 253-nucleotide ribosomal RNA is filed under the name uncultured bacterium. RNAcentral describes it as "partial 16S ribosomal RNA". It matches the Rfam family "Bacterial small subunit ribosomal RNA", at positions 524 to 776 of the family's 1533-position model. The record is from RNAcentral.